AGACGGUGGAUAGAUUGAUUGAAACUGGAGACAGUGAGCAUAUUUUUCAGAAAGCAAUCAUGGAGCAAGUAAGAGGGCAGUUAGGUUUUUCUGCUUCCGUGCGUGCAAGUAAUAAAUAUUGGAUACUGGCUGAGAUUCAGGAGCGGCAUGGCGCUUUCAGAGGCUUAGAGAACAAACUCCUCUACAUUGUAGCUUAAAAUGCUGAAUCUGAAAGUGUCAAACAAGAUGCUGAAUUAGAAAAUGCAUUUGAAAUCAUCCAGGUGCUUGCUAAGAUUCAGAAGAGGUGGAAGAGUCUCAAAGCGAGUCGAAAGCCCACGUUGAGCAGCACUGCAACCACAUCAACUACUACUGUGGCGCUGAAACGAUGUAGUCUGACCCCAACCGGAAUAUAGAUGUAGAGGAGACUCACUUAUAUCGACUAGAGAGAAGACAAGGGUAGCCACAUUAGAGGACAUACCAUCUCACUAGCACCCCUAAGAGGUCAAGAAAUCUGAAAUCCAUCAAUAGACCAAAGAGAACAAGAGAUGAGUGGGAAACAAAGAGUAGAGAAGUCUGAAGUUGCAGAUGGUGGAGAAAAGAAUGAUGAAAAGGAAAUAUUCAAGUGGACUUACUCAUAAGUAGAAAGUAGAAAUACGUCCCCUUUUGUGAUCUUCGUAUGACUCUAGAGGUCAAAGGUCCUAUCGAAGUAGCGGAAACUGACAAGGAUAAUGUUGAGAUCUGAGUUGAGGUUGGUCUCAUCUUCUACAUAUCUCUGUGUUUUAUGAUGUUCUCAUGUAUCUUACGCCUUCUUACAUAUAUGUAAUACGUUUUUUUAA
Molecule: long non-coding RNA, 815 nt
Organism: Brassica oleracea var. oleracea
Lineage: Eukaryota; Viridiplantae; Streptophyta; Magnoliopsida; Brassicales; Brassicaceae
Exons: 6
Source: RefSeq, a predicted model, not a curated record